Molecule: unclassified non-coding RNA, 1696 nt
Filed under: uncultured fungus
Lineage: Eukaryota; Fungi
Description: sequence contains 18S rRNA gene, ITS1, 5.8S rRNA gene, ITS2, 28S rRNA gene
Rfam family: Eukaryotic large subunit ribosomal RNA (bases 632-1696)
Source: RNAcentral
GGAAGGAUCAUUACUUUACGUAAGCUUAUCAGGUAUAUGAUGUGGGAGGGUGUAUUGUCAUGUGAUCAUAUAUCCCCCCACAUCCCUGAUAAACUUCAAUACAUGCUCCAGGUAACACUGGAUGCACAAUAUACACAUGUAUACACAUUUAUCAUGAUACUUUGAUAAGAUCAAUUGAAACAAAACUUUUAACAAUGGAUCUCUUGGCUCCUGCAUCGAUGAAGAACGCAGCUAAGUGCGAAAAGUAAUGCGACAUGCAUAUCUCUGCGAGUCAUCCAGUAUUUGAACGCAAAUGGCACGUGGGGGUGAAAUUCCACGUAUGAGCGCUUGAGGGUCAGAUGUUUCAUCACACGAGUAUUCGUGUGGAUUUGUCCUAUAUAUUGGGAUGAAAUAGAGUGGGGGAUUGAUUUCUAUGGAAAGUCAUCCGUCUUGAAGACAAGUGGGGAUGUAUUCUCUCUAUUCAGGAUGGUGAUAAUGUGCAUGUAUAUCAUGUCAUACACAGACAUUCGUCCUCCAUGUGUGUGGGUGAUAUGUGAGUAUGUAUAUUCGUAUCCAUACUCACAUGUCACCACCACCAACAAUGCUCAAUUUGGACAUUCGGCUGACGCCGAAGCCCAAAUUGAUCAAGUAUUGACCUCAGUCGCUCAGGACUACCCGCUGAACUUAAGCAUAUCAGUAAGCGGAGGAAAAGAAACUAACAAGGAUUCCCCCAGUAACGGCGAGUGAAGCGGGACCAGCUCAAAUUUGAAAUCAGGGGGAGAGAUCUUCUUGAAUUGUAGUCUAGAGGGUGUACUCUAUUCAAAAGUAUCGAGUCGCAAGUGUUCUGGAAAGGACCACCAGAGAGGGUGACAGUCCCGUUGAAGACCCGAUACUCUCGAAUACAUAUCUACACCCAAGGAGUCGGGUUGCUUGGGAAUGCAGCUCAAAACGGGUGGUAAACUCCAUCCAAGGCUAAAUAGCGGCAGGAGACCGAUAGCGAACAAGUACCGUGAGGGAAAGAUGAAAAGCACCUUGAAAAGGGAGUGAAACAGCGCGUGAAAUUGUUAAAAGGGAAACGAAUGUGGGGGGCAGAUUGUGUGUGUGUUGGUGGGGUAGGGUGGAGAGGUUUGAGCAGGCGACUGCCAGAAGCUCCAUCCAGAGACCCACCUAGCCACACGACGUCGGGGCUGCUUGGUGGGGGUGGUGAAUACUGUGGGGGGUGUUGUGAUGAUAUAUCACGGCAUUCCACAGGGAUGCACCUCCCCCGAGUAGUGCACAUGGAGUAAAGUAUGUGGCUACUUUGUGGGGAUGGUCGUGUGACUGCAUGCAGACAUGUGAUUUUGAUCUCACAAACCGCCACGAUACUCUCUCCAUUAAUCCCCAACAACCCCCCCAUAUACGACCCGUCUUGAAACACGGACCAAGGAGUCUAACAUGCGUGCGAGUGUUUGGGUGGCAAGCCCGAGCGCGCAACGAAAGUGGCAAGUGGGAAUAUAUGUGAGCGAUCACACGUAUGCACCACAGAUCAAUCAUGAACUUUUCUCGAUUGAUCAAAGCACACACGUUGGGACCCGAAAGAUGGUGAACUAUGCCUGGACAGGAUGAAGCCAGGGGAAAUUCUGGUGGAGGUCCGCCGCCGUUCUGACGUGCAAAUCGAUGGCCGGAUCUGGGCAUAGGGGCGAAAGACUAAUCGAACCAUCUAGUAGCUGGUUCCCUC